CAAUAGCGUAUAUUAAAGUUGUUGCGGUUAAAAAGCUCGUAGUUGGAUUUCUGCCGAGGACGACCGGUCCGCCCUCUGGGCGUGCAUCUGGCUUGGCCUGGGCAUCCUCUUGGAGAACGUGUCUGCACUUGACUGUGUGGUACGGUAUCCAGGACUUUUACUUUGAGGAAAUUAGAGUGUUUCAAGCAGGCGUUCGCCUUGAAUACAUUAGCAUGGAAUAAUAAUAUAGGACCUUUGUUCUAUUUUGUUGGUUUCUAGAGCGAAGGUAAUGAUUAAUAGGGAUAAUUGGGGGCAUUCGUAUUAACGCGUCAGAGGUGGAAUUCUUGGAUUGCGUUACGACGAACUACUGCGAAAGCAUUUGCCAAGGAUGUUUUCAUUGAUCAAGAACGAAAGUUAGGGGAUCGAAGACGAUCAGAUACCAU
This 422-nucleotide ribosomal RNA is filed under the name uncultured eukaryote. RNAcentral describes it as "SSU rRNA". It matches the Rfam family "Eukaryotic small subunit ribosomal RNA", at positions 592 to 1018 of the family's 1831-position model. The record is from RNAcentral.